Molecule: ribosomal RNA, 497 nt
Filed under: uncultured bacterium
Lineage: Bacteria
Description: partial 16S ribosomal RNA
Rfam family: Bacterial small subunit ribosomal RNA
Source: RNAcentral
GAUGAACGCUGGCGGCGUGCCUAAUACAUGCAAGUCGAGCGAACAGACGAGGAGCUUGCUCCUCUGACGUUAGCGGCGGACGGGUGAGUAACACGUGUAUAACCUACCUAUAAGACUGGGAUAACUUCGGGAAACCGGAGCUAAUACCGGAUAAUAUAUUGAACCGCAUGGUUCAAUAGUGAAAGACGGUUUUGCUGUCACUUAUAGAUGGAUCCGCGCCGCAUUAGCUAGUUGGUAAGGUAACGGCUUACCAAGGCAACGAUGCGUAGCCGACCUGAGAGGGUGGUCGGCGACACGGGAGCUGAGACACGGUCCAGACUCCUACGGGAGGCAGCAGUAGGGAAUCUUCCGCAAUGGGCGAAAGCCUGACGGAGCAACGCCGCGUGAGUGAUGAAGGUCUUCGGAUCGGAAAACUCUGUUAUUAGGGAAGAACAAAUGUGGAAGUAACUAUGCACGUCUUGACGGUACCUAAUCAGAAAGCCACGGCUAACUACGUG